This 393-nucleotide ribosomal RNA is filed under the name uncultured bacterium. RNAcentral's name for it is "partial 16S ribosomal RNA". It matches the Rfam family "Bacterial small subunit ribosomal RNA", at positions 523 to 918 of the family's 1533-position model. The record is from RNAcentral.
CUACGGAGGAUGCAAGCGUUAUCCGGAUUUAUUGGGUUUAAAGGGUGCGUAGGCGGUUUGCUAAGCGGGAGGUGAAAUGCCGGCGCCCAACGUCGGAAGUGCCUCCCGAACUGGUGGACUGGAAUGACUCUGCCGUGGGAGGAAUGUGUAGUGUAGCGGUGAAAUGCUUAGAGAUUACACAGAACACCGAUUGCGAAGGCAUCUCACGAAGGGUUGAUUGACGCUGAGGCACGAAAGCGUGGGGAUCAAACAGGAUUAGAUACCCUGGUAGUCCACGCAGUAAACGAUGAUGGCUAACCGCUGGUUUUUUCGGAUCAGUGGCCAAGCGAAAGCGAUAAGCCAUCCACCUGGGGAGUACGACCGCAAGGUUGAAACUCAAAGGAAUUGACGGGG